GGUGGCCCCCACGUGACGUUAUCUCACCCAACUCCCCCAGGGCAGGAAUGCAGCAAGGGUAAGUGAGCUCUGGCGGGUGCGUGGGGGUCCUUCAU
Molecule: non-coding RNA, 95 nt
Rfam family: Bacterial small signal recognition particle RNA
About the family: The signal recognition particle (SRP) is a universally conserved ribonucleoprotein involved in the co-translational targeting of proteins to membranes.
Source: Rfam